UACGUAGGCAGCGAGCGUUGCUCGGAAUCACUGGGCGUAAAGGGCGCGUAGGCGGGUCUUUAAGUCAGGGGUGAAAUCCUGGAGCUCAACUCCAGAACUGCCUUUGAUACUGAAGAUCUUGAGUUCGGGAGAGGUGAGUGGAACUGCGAGUGUAGAGGUGAAAUUCGUAGAUAUUCGCAAGAACACCAGUGGCGAAGGCGGCUCACUGGCCCGAUACUGACGCUGAGGCACGAAAGCGUGGGGAGCAAACAGG
This 253-nucleotide ribosomal RNA is filed under the name uncultured bacterium. Its description in RNAcentral is "partial 16S ribosomal RNA". It matches the Rfam family "Bacterial small subunit ribosomal RNA", at positions 524 to 776 of the family's 1533-position model. The record is from RNAcentral.